GACGAACGCUGGCGGCGUGCCUAAUACAUGCAAGUCGAACGAGAGCGACCGGUGCUUGCACUGGUCAAUCUAGUGGCGAACGGGUGAGUAACACGUGGGUAACCUGCCCAUCAGAGGGGGAUAACAUUCGGAAACGGAUGCUAAAACCGCAUAGGUCUUCGAACCGCAUGGUUUGAAGAGGAAAAGAGGCGCAAGCUUCUGCUGAUGGAUGUACCCGCGGUGCAUUAGCUAGUUGGUGAGGUAACGGCUCACCAAGGCCGUGAUGCAUAGCCGACCUGAGAGGGUGAUCGGCCACAUUGGGACUGAGACACGGCCCAAACUCCUACGGGAGGCAGCAGUAGGGAAUCUUCCGCAAUGGACGCAAGUCUGACGGAGCAACGCCGCGUGAGUGAAGAAGGUGUUCGGAUCGUAAAACUCUGUUGUUAGAGAAGAAUAAGUGCUAGAGUAACUGUUAGCGCCUUGACGGUAUCUAACCAGAAAGCCACGGCUAACUACGUG
Molecule: ribosomal RNA, 498 nt
Filed under: uncultured bacterium
Lineage: Bacteria
Description: partial 16S ribosomal RNA
Rfam family: Bacterial small subunit ribosomal RNA
Source: RNAcentral